AAAGCCUUAAGUUAAUCACAAACUAUUAGCCUUCAAAGUUAAAAAUAAAGAUUUUAGAUGAAA
Molecule: transfer RNA, 63 nt
Filed under: Lithobius maqinensis
Lineage: Eukaryota; Metazoa; Arthropoda; Chilopoda; Lithobiomorpha; Lithobiidae
Description: tRNA-Trp
Source: RNAcentral